UACUUCGCCUGAUAUCAACCUUACUCCUUUUGAGAAAUUAGACAGCAAUGGUCGAAAAUUACCUGUACUUUCUAAUUUAGGAAUGGGUUAUGUAUUUGAAGAAUUGAUUCGAAAGUUUAACGAAGAAAAUAAUGAAGAAGCCGGAGAACACUUUACGCCUCGUGAAGUAAUUGACUUAAUGACUCACAUUAUUUUUGACCCAAUCAAGAAUAACUUACCACCAGUAAUGACCAUUUAUGACCCUGCCUGUGGUAGUGGUGGAAUGUUGACCGAAGCUCAGAAUUUUAUUAAAGAUGAAGAGGGCGAAAUACGUGCCGUAAACUCGGAUGUGUAUUUAUACGGAAAAGAAAUCAACGACGAAACCUAUGCGAUUUGCAAAUCGGAUAUGAUGAUUAAAGGAAAUAACCCUGAAAAUAUUCGUGUGGGUUCUACGCUAUCUACAGAUGAAUUUGCUGGUACUACUUUUGACUUUAUGCUUUCCAAUCCGCCUUACGGAAAAUCUUGGGCUAGUGAGCAAAAAUAUAUCAAAGAUGGGAAAGAUGUUAUCGAUUCACGUUUUCAAAUACGCUUAAAGAACUAUUGGGGCAUUGAAGAAGAUGCUGAUGCGAUACCACGUUCGUCUGAUGGGCAAUUGUUGUUUUUGAUGGAAAUGGUAAGCAAAAUGAAACCCUUAUCUCAAAGUCCAUUGGGUUCUCGUAUUGCUUCCGUUCACAACGGAAGUAGUUUGUUUACGGGUGAUGCUGGUGGUGGCGAAAACAACAUUCGUAGGUAGGGGUGAAAGGCUAAUCAAACUGGGAAAUAGCUCGUACUCCCCGAAAUGUUUUUAGGAACAGCGUCGUGGUUGAGUUUCAUGCAGGUAAAGCUACCAAUAGGACUAGGGGGAGUCAAAUCCUACCAAAUCCUGAUGAACUCUGAAUGGCAUGAAAUAUACACGGCAGUGAGGGCGGGGGUGCUAAGGUCACCGUCCGAGAGGGAAAGAACCCAGACCAACAGUUAAGGUCCCCAAAUCUAUACUAAGUUGAACAAAGGAGGUCUGAUUGCAGAGACAGCCAGGAUGUUAGCUUGGAAGCAGCUAUUCAUUUAAAGAGUGCGUAACAGCUCACUGGUCGAGCGAGGCGGGCAUCGAUAAUAAACGGGCAUCAAGUAUAGUACCGAAGCUUUGGAUUAUAUAGAGAUAUAUACUGGUAGGGGAGCAUUCUGAUAGCGGAGAAGGUAAAUCGACAAGGUUUGCUGGAGUGAUCAGAAAAGCAAAUGUAGGGAUAAGUAACGAUAAUGGGGGCGAGAAACCCCCACGCCGAAAAGUCAAGGAUUCCUCAGCUAUGCUAAUCAACUGAGGGUUAGUCGGGGGCUAAGGGUCUAGCGAGAGCGACAAUCUAAUGCACAUCAGGUUAAUAUUCCUGAACUUACUAUUAGGGAAACACGAUGACGGAGAUUCGUGGUUGGCAGGUACUGACGGAAUAGUGCCUUUGAGUGGAAGCCGCAAGGCAGAUGCGAGUCAGCGAAGAAACUUCCAAGAAAAGUUGUGGAUCUUAACUUAAUAGUAACCCGUACCGUAAACCGACACAGGUGACUGGGAAGAAUAUUCUAAGGCGCUCGAGUGAAUCACGGCUAAGGAACUCGGCAAAUUAACCCUGUAACUUCGGGAUAAAGGGAGCCUACUCAGCGAUGAGAGGCCGCAGAGAAUUGGUCCAGGCGACUGUUUAACAAAAACACAUGGCUUUGCAAAAACGAAAGUUGACGUAUAAGGCCUGACACCUGCCCGGUGCUGGAAGGUUAAGAGGGGAUGUUAGAGCAAUCGAAGCAUUGAAUCGAAGCCCCAGUAAACGGCGGCCGUAACUAUAACGGUCCUAAGGUAGCGAAAUUCCUUGUCGGGUAAGUUCCGACCUGCACGAAUGGUGUAACGAUCUGGACACUGUCUCAGCCGUGAGCUCGGUGAAAUUGUAGUAACGGUGAAGAUGCCGUUUACCCGCAACGGGACGGAAAGACCCCAUGAACCUUUACUAUAGCUUAGCAUUGAGUUCUGAUACUGGAUGUGUAGGAUAGGUGGGAGACUGUGAUAUGGCGUCGCUAGGCGUCAUGGAGUCAACGUUGAAAUACCACCCUUCUUGUAUUGGGAUUCUAACUUAAAAAAGGACAUUGCUUGGUGGGUAGUUUGACUGGGGUGGUCGCCUCCAAAAGGAUAACGGAGGCUUUCAAAGGUACCCUCAGCACGCUUGGUAACCGUGCGUAGAGUGCAAUAGCAAAAGGGAGCUUGACUGUGAGACCGACAAGUCGAUCAGGUACGAAAGUAGGAUAUAGUGAUCCGGUGGUAUAGUAUGGAAUAGCCAUCGCUCAAAGGAUAAAAGGUACUCGUAUCGUGACUGGGAAAC
Molecule: ribosomal RNA, 2369 nt
Filed under: freshwater metagenome
Description: bacterial LSU rRNA
Rfam family: Bacterial large subunit ribosomal RNA (bases 622-2369)
Source: RNAcentral